RNAcentral lists this ribosomal RNA (497 nucleotides) under uncultured bacterium. RNAcentral's name for it is "partial 16S ribosomal RNA". It matches the Rfam family "Bacterial small subunit ribosomal RNA", at positions 28 to 507 of the family's 1533-position model. The record is from RNAcentral.
GAUGAACGCUGGCGGCGUGCCUAAUACAUGCCAGUCGAGCGAACAGACGAGGAGCUUGCUCCUCUGACGUUAGCGGCGGACGGGUGAGUAACACGUGGAUAACCUACCUAUAAGACUGGGAUAACUUCGGGAAACCGGAGCUAAUACCGGAUAAUAUAUUGAACCGCAUGGUUCAAUAGUGAAAGACGGUUUUGCUGUCACUUAUAGAUGGAUCCGCGCCGCAUUAGCUAGUUGGUAAGGUAACGGCUUACCAAGGCGACGAUGCGUAGCCGACCUGAGAGGGUGAUCGGCCACACUGGAACUGAGACACGGUCCAGACUCCUACGGGAGGCAGCAGUAGGGAAUCUUCCGCAAUGGGCGAAAGCCUGACGGAGCAACGCCGCGUGAGUGAUGAAGGUCUUCGGAUCGUAAAACUCUGUUAGUAGGGAAGAACAAAUGUGUAAGUAACUAUGCACGUCUUGACGGUACCUAAUCAGAAAGCAACGGCUAACUACGUG